This 598-nucleotide ribosomal RNA is filed under the name Trichophyton rubrum. Its description in RNAcentral is "eukaryotic LSU rRNA". It matches the Rfam family "Eukaryotic large subunit ribosomal RNA", at positions 39 to 648 of the family's 3401-position model. Lineage: Eukaryota; Fungi; Ascomycota; Eurotiomycetes; Onygenales; Arthrodermataceae. The record is from RNAcentral.
CAUAUCAAUAAGCGGAGGAAAAGAAACCAACAGGGAUUGCCCCAGUAACGGCGAGUGAAGCGGCAAGAGCUCAAAUUUGAAAUCUGGCCUCCCCCGGGGGUCCGAGUUGUAAUUUGCAGAGGAUGCUUCGGGCGCGGCCCCCGUCUAAGUUCCUUGGAACAGGACGUCAGAGAGGGUGAGAAUCCCGUCUUGGGCGGGCGGCCCGCGCCCGUGUGAAGCUCCUUCGACGAGUCGAGUUGUUUGGGAAUGCAGCUCUAAGCGGGUGGUAAAUUUCAUCUAAAGCUAAAUACCGGCCGGAGACCGAUAGCGCACAAGUAGAGUGAUCGAAAGGUUAAAAGCACCUUGAAAAGGGAGUUAAACAGCACGUGAAAUUGUUGAAAGGGAAGCGCUUGCGGCCAGACUCGGGGGGCGGGGUUCAGCGGGCGCUCGUCGCCCGUGCACUGCCCGCUCCCCGGGCCAGCAUCAGCUUCGACGGCCGGUCAAAGGCCCCCGGAAUGUGUCGUCUCUAGGGACGUCUUAUAGCCGGGGGUGCAAUGCGGCCCGUCGAGACUGAGGAACGCGCUCCGGCUCGGAUGCUGGCGUAAUGGCCGUAAGCGGC